GACGAACGCUGGCGGCGUGCCUAACACAUGCAAGUCAACUUGACUGAAGGAGCAAUCUGACAGUAGAGUGGCGCAAGGGUGCGUAACGCGUAAGUAACUUGCCCAAGGUAGGGAAUAACGUCGAGAAAUCGGCGCUAAUACCCCAUAAUGCAGCGGAUCCGCAUGGAUAUGUUGUUAAAGGUUUACCGCCUUGGGAUAGGCUUGCGUCUGAUUAGCUAGUUGGUGUGGUAACGGCACACCAAGGCUACGAUCAGUAACUGGUCUGAGAGGAUGAUCAGUCACACUGGAACUGAGACACGGUCCAGACUCCUACGGGAGGCAGCAGUGAGGAAUAUUGGGCAAUGCUCGAAAGAGUGACCCAGCAACGCCGCGUGGAGGAUGAAGGUAUUCUAUAUCGUAAACUCCUGUGAGAGCAGACGAAGACAGAUUAUUAAUCUGGUGACUGUAUGCUCAGAGGAA
Molecule: ribosomal RNA, 459 nt
Filed under: uncultured bacterium
Lineage: Bacteria
Description: bacterial SSU rRNA
Rfam family: Bacterial small subunit ribosomal RNA
Source: RNAcentral